GACGAACGCUGGCGGCGUGCUUAACACAUGCAAGUCGAACGGAAAGGCCCUGCUUUUGUGGGGUGCUCGAGUGGCGAACGGGUGAGUAACACGUGAGUAACCUGCCCUUGACUUUGGGAUAACUUCAGGAAACUGGGGCUAAUACCGGAUAGGAGCUCCUGCUGCAUGGUGGGGGUUGGAAAGUUUCGGCGGUUGGGGAUGGACUCGCGGCUUAUCAGCUUGUUGGUGGGGUAGUGGAUUACCAAGGCUUUGACGGGUAGCCGGCCUGAGAGGGUGACCGGCCACAUUGGGACUGAGAUAAGGCCCAGACUCCUACGGGAGGCAGCAGUGGGGAAUAUUGCACAAUGGGCGGAAGCCUGAUGCAGCAACGCCGCGUGCGGGAUGACGGCCUUCGGGUUGUAAACCGCUUUCGCCUGUGACGAAGCGUGAGUGACGGUAAUGGGUAAAGAAGCACCGGCUAACUACGUG
RNAcentral lists this ribosomal RNA (468 nucleotides) under uncultured bacterium. RNAcentral's name for it is "partial 16S ribosomal RNA". It matches the Rfam family "Bacterial small subunit ribosomal RNA", at positions 28 to 507 of the family's 1533-position model. The record is from RNAcentral.